GCAGGACCUUACUCAAACUGCUUGAACGUGCGUGGCAGCAGAGAGAUAAUUUCCUAACACCUUCUAUGGAGCUGUAAUAGCCUGGAUGGUGAAAGGAGAGAAGGAGCUGACUUGUUCCUUUAGCAAUUGGAGCCACUCCACAGGUGUAUCAACUGCUGCAGAGUACCUGGAGAUCUGAUCAGUUCUUGCAGGCGAAGGUAACAUUGUUGAGAUGGUGACACUGAAGAGCAAGAGGAUUCACAGACAAAAAAAAAAAAAAAAGGCAGCAGAGAAGAUGAGAUGGAAACUGAGCAACAAUAGAAUGAGGCUGUUUCAGGGAGCCAUGGACACUGACACCCACUUGCCAGCAGAUUGUGUACCUGCUGUGUGCCUGCGAGGUGGCCAUGAGUUUAUGAAUCUUUAGCCAAGUAAUGAGUUUGAGCCCUGUCCUACCUGUGCCAGGCCACAAAGGACAGCUUGUAAGCUGUAUCUCACCCUGCCUGCAUCGUGCCAAAUAAAGGUGCCCAAGUGACAGUGGUGAAAGGGUGUGAACUUAAAAAUUGAUGAAAACAAUCCUUCAUAGCUUCUGUGUUCCCUGUUCAACUACCUCUUCCCAAAGCUAGAUAAGAAACUGCUACUACGUGUGGUCUGCACACGAUAGACAUGAGGGAAAUUGCACAGUUAAAGGACUGUUGUAAGAGCAUUGUCCUCAGCUGACAUGUCAGAUUGUCAGAGAGUAUUAAAAGUCAAACCAUGCCACAUUACUGGUUUGCUUCUGCUCCA
Molecule: long non-coding RNA, 762 nt
Organism: Corapipo altera (White-ruffed manakin)
Lineage: Eukaryota; Metazoa; Chordata; Aves; Passeriformes; Pipridae
Exons: 3
Source: RefSeq, a predicted model, not a curated record